CUGCGAAGGUGGCCUGUGAGGGUUGCUGGAGGUAUCAGAAGUGCGAAUGCUGACAUAAGUAACGAUAAAGCGGGUGAAAAGCCCGCUCGCCGGAAGACCAAGGGUUCCUGUCCAACGUUAAUCGGGGCAGGGUGAGUCGACCCCUAAGGCGAGGCCGAAAGGCGUAGUCGAUGGGAAACGGGUUAAUAUUCCCGUACUUGGUGUUACUGCGAAGGGGGGACGGAGAAGGCUAUGUUGGCCGGGCGACGGUUGUCCCGGUUUAAGCGUGUAGGUGUGUGUUCCAGGUAAAUCCGGUUCACUUUAACACUGAGGCGUGACGACGAGGCACUACGGUGCUGAAGCAACAAAUGCCCUGCUUCCAGGAAAAGCCUCUAAGCAUCAGGUAACAUCAAAUCGUACCCCAAACCGACACAGGUGGUCAGGUAGAGAAUACCAAGGCGCUUGAGAGAACUCGGGUGAAGGAACUAGGCAAAAUGGUGCCGUAACU
RNAcentral lists this ribosomal RNA (487 nucleotides) under Salmonella enterica. Its description in RNAcentral is "partial 23S ribosomal RNA". It matches the Rfam family "Bacterial large subunit ribosomal RNA", at positions 1248 to 1735 of the family's 2925-position model. The record is from RNAcentral. Lineage: Bacteria; Pseudomonadati; Pseudomonadota; Gammaproteobacteria; Enterobacterales; Enterobacteriaceae.